RNAcentral lists this ribosomal RNA (253 nucleotides) under uncultured bacterium. RNAcentral describes it as "partial 16S ribosomal RNA". It matches the Rfam family "Bacterial small subunit ribosomal RNA", at positions 524 to 776 of the family's 1533-position model. The record is from RNAcentral.
UACAGAGGUCCCAAGCGUUGUUCGGAUUCACUGGGCGUAAAGGGUGCGUAGGUGGUCAUGCAAGUCAGGUGUGAAAUCUCCGGGCUCAACCCGGAAAUGGCAUUCGAAACUACCUUGCUAGAGGGUUUGAGGGGGGACUGGAAUACUUGGUGUAGCAGUGAAAUGCGUAGAUAUCAAGUGGAACACCAGUGGCGAAGGCGAGUCCCUGGAAAACUCCUGACACUGAGGCACGAAAGCUAGGGGAGCAAACAGG